CUGCGGAGGAUCAUUACAGUAGUCGCCCGGGUUGCCGCAAGGCCUCCCGGGUAACCUACCACCCUUUGUUUAUUACACUUUGUUGCUUUGGCAAGCCUGCCCUCGGGCUGCUGGCUCCGGCCGGCGAGCGCUUGCCAGAGGACCUAAACUCUGUUUGUCUAUACUGUCUGAGUACUAUAUAAUAGUUAAAACUUUCAACAACGGAUCUCUUGGUUCUGGCAUCGAUGAAGAACGCAGCGAAAUGCGAUAAGUAAUGUGAAUUGCAGAAUUCAGUGAAUCAUCGAAUCUUUGAACGCACAUUGCGCCCCCUGGUAUUCCGGGGGGCAUGCCUGUCCGAGCGUCAUUACAACCCUCAAGCUCAGCUUGGUGUUGGGCCCCGCCGCCCCGGCGGGCCCUAAAGUCAGUGGCGGUGCCGUCCGGCUCCGAGCGUAGUAAUUCUUCUCGCUCUGGAGGCCCGGUCGUGUGCUCGCCAGCAACCCCCAAUUUUUUUCAGGUUGACCUCGGAUCAGGUAGGGAUACCCGCUGAACUUAAGCAU
Molecule: ribosomal RNA, 536 nt
Filed under: Pseudogymnoascus pannorum
Lineage: Eukaryota; Fungi; Ascomycota; Leotiomycetes; Thelebolales; Thelebolaceae
Description: eukaryotic LSU rRNA
Rfam family: 5.8S ribosomal RNA (bases 190-343)
Source: RNAcentral